GAUGAACGCUGGCGGCGUGCCUAAUACAUGCAAGUCGAGCGAACAGACGAGGAGCUUGCUCCUCUGACGUUAGCGGCGGACGGGUGAGUAACACGUGGAUAACCUACCUAUAAGACUGGGAUAACUUCGGGAAACCGGAGCUACUACCGGAUAAUAUAUUGAACCGCAUGGUUCAAUAGUGAAAGACGGUUUUGCUGUCACUUAUAGAUGGAUCCGCGCCGCAUUAGCUAGUUGGUAAGGUAACGGCUUACCAAGGCAACGAUGCGUAGCCGACCUGAGAGGGUGAUCGGCCACACUGGAACUGAGACACGGUCCAGACUCCUACGGGAGGCAGCAGUAGGGAAUCUUGCGCAAUGGGCGAAAGCCUGACGGAGCAACGCCGCGUGAGUGAUGAAGGUCUUCGGAUCGUAAAACUCUGUUAUUAGGGAAGAACAAAUGUGUAAGUAACUAUGCACGUCUUGACGGUACCUAAUCAGAAAGCCACGGCUAACUACGUG
RNAcentral lists this ribosomal RNA (497 nucleotides) under uncultured bacterium. RNAcentral describes it as "partial 16S ribosomal RNA". It matches the Rfam family "Bacterial small subunit ribosomal RNA", at positions 28 to 507 of the family's 1533-position model. The record is from RNAcentral.